UACGUAGGGGGCUAGCGUUGUCCGGAAUCAUUGGGCGUAAAGCGCGUGUAGGCGGUCCGGUAAGUCCGCUGUGAAAGUCGGGGGCUCAACCUCGAGAUGUCGGCUGAAACCAUCUGGCUAGAGUCCGGAAGAGGAGAGUGGAAUUCCCGGUGUAGCGGUGAAAUGCGCAGAUAUCAGGAGGAACACCGAUGGCGAAGGCAGUUCUCUGGGCCGUAACUGACGCUGAGGGGCGAAAGCGUGGGGAGCGAACAGG
This 253-nucleotide ribosomal RNA is filed under the name uncultured bacterium. Its description in RNAcentral is "partial 16S ribosomal RNA". It matches the Rfam family "Bacterial small subunit ribosomal RNA", at positions 524 to 776 of the family's 1533-position model. The record is from RNAcentral.